GAUGAAGAACGCAGCGAAAUGCGAUAAGUAAUGUGAAUUGCAGAAUUCAGUGAAUCAUCGAAUCUUUGAACGCACCUUGCGCUCCUUGGCAUUCCGAGGAGCAUGCCUGUUUGAGUGUCAUUAAAUUCUCAAGACCUGUCUGCUUUUUUGAUAGGUAUUGGAUUUUGGGGGUUGCAGGCUGUUUCAAAUAAAUAGCCUUGCUCUCCUUGAAUGUAUUAGUGGAGAAAAGCCAUUGAACUCCAUUGGUGUGAUAAAACCUAUCAAUGCCAGGAGCAAUAUCACUACUUCUCUCUGCUGUCUAACUGUGACUGUCUGUAUUAAUUAGUAUGGAUGGGGACAACUUGACCAACUUGACCUCAAAUCAGGUAGGACUACCCGCUGAACUUAAGCAUAUCAUAAGCGGAGGA
RNAcentral lists this unclassified non-coding RNA (407 nucleotides) under soil metagenome. Its description in RNAcentral is "partial contains 5.8S ribosomal RNA, internal transcribed spacer 2, and large subunit ribosomal RNA". The stretch from base 1 to 120 matches the Rfam family "5.8S ribosomal RNA", at positions 35 to 154 of the family's 154-position model. The record is from RNAcentral.